ACCUACACAUUUAACAAAUGUGUUUAAAACCUGUCAAUCAUUAUGCUGCUACUUGCAAAAUCGCAACUUUUCUAGUGUUUAAUGUGCACAAAUUAUCAAUUCACCUGGAUUCUUAUUUUGAUGAUAGCUGACGCAAAUGCCUAACCCAAUCAAAAUGUUUUUUCCAUUAAAUCUUGAGGUGAUACCAGAUGAUAAGAAAGCAUUAUAAGAACUCACAGCCAUUUGUUAUUUCAAGUGCAUUAUUUCAAUUGAUGAAGAGGAUAAGUUGAAGAUAG
This 275-nucleotide long non-coding RNA is filed under the name Mytilus galloprovincialis (Mediterranean mussel). The record is from RNAcentral. Lineage: Eukaryota; Metazoa; Mollusca; Bivalvia; Mytilida; Mytilidae.